GGGGGCAGAGCUCAGGGGUAAGAGCACGUGCUUAGCGUGCAUGAGGCCUGGGUUCAGUCCCCGAAACCCCCA
This 72-nucleotide transfer RNA is filed under the name Camelus bactrianus (Bactrian camel). It matches the Rfam family "tRNA". From Rfam's summary of the family: Transfer RNA (tRNA) molecules are approximately 80 nucleotides in length. Their secondary structure includes four short double-helical elements and three loops (D, anti-codon, and T loops). The record is from Rfam by way of RNAcentral. RNAcentral also lists the same sequence under 2 other names. Lineage: Eukaryota; Metazoa; Chordata; Mammalia; Artiodactyla; Camelidae.